AUCAAAUGAACUAAGGCAGAUGGUGGAGACCUAGGCACUUUAAGACGAUGAAGGGCGCAGAAACCAGCGAUAUGUUUUGGGGAGCUGGAAACAAGCUUUGAUCCAAAAAUCCCCGAAUAGGGCAACCUCUAGAACUCCUUUUAUUAAUUCAUAGAAAAGGCAGAGACAACCUGGUGAAUUGAAACAUCUUAGUAGCCAGUGGAAAAGAAAGCAAACGCGAUUCCCUUAGUAGUGGCGAGCGAAAGGGGACCAGCCUAAAUUUGUUAAGAAAUUAAAUUUUAAUUUGUUGAUGGAUGUUGUGGGAGGACAUUAAUUUCUCUGAAUAAGAGAUAAGUUUAAAAUUGAAAUAAUGAUUAAGAAUUUUAUUAAAAAAAUAAAAUUCUUAAUCAUAUAAGAGACAAAACGAAGCAGCUGAAUCCUGCACCACAGAUGGUGAAAGUCCAGUAGUAAAUAACUCUCUUUUUAAAUAAAAAAGUCUUAUCCCGAGUAGCAUGGGACACGUGAAAUCCCGUGUGAAUCAGCGAAGACCACUUCGUAAGGCUAAAUAUUCUAAAGUGACCGAUAGCGAAAUAGUACAGCGAUGGAAGGGUAAAAAGAACCCCUGUAGGGGAGUGAAAUAGAACAUGAAACCAUCUGCUGACAAGCAGCGGGAGGAAUUUUAAUUCUGACCACGUGCCUGUUGAAGAAUGAGCUGGCGACUUAUAGGAAGUGGCUUGGUUAAGAAAAUUCAUUCGUAGCCAUAGCGAAAGCGAGUCUGAAUAGGGCGCAAAUGGUCACUUUUUAUGGACCCGAACCCGGGUGAUCUAACCAUGACCAGGUUGAAGCUUGGGUAAAACCGUGUGGAAGUCCGAACCGACUGGUGUUGAAAAACCAACGGAUGAGUUGUGGUUAGGGGUGAAAUACCAAUCGAACUCGGAGCUAGCUGGAUCUCCCCGAAAUGCGUUGAGGCGCAGUCGGUUAUGAAGGACUAUGAAAGGGUAAAGCAACUGUUUCGGUGCGGGCUGCGAGAGCGGUACCAAGUCGUGACAAACUCAGAAUAUUUCAUAUAGUUUACCAUUAACCAGUGAGACAGUGGGAGAUAAGUUUCAUUGUCAAGAGGGAAACAGCCCAGAUCACCAGCUAAGGCCCCUAAAUGAAUGCUAAGUGGAAAAGGAUGUGGGAAUGCUGAGACAAACGUGAGGUUAGCUUAGAAGCAGCGAUUCCUUGAAAGAAAGCGUAAAAGCUCAACGUUGUAAGCGUUCUUGCGCCGACAAUAGCCGGGACUAAGUAUUCUGCCGAAGCUGUGGGAUGGAGUUGAUUCUCCAAUCGGUAGGGGAGCGUUCGACUAUUGGGUGAAGCAUUGAUUUGAGUCAGUGUGGACAAAGUCGAAGCGAGAAUGUCAGCUUGAGUAACGAAAACAUUGGUGAGAAUCCAAUGCUCCGAAAACCUAAGGGUUCCUUCACUAGGCUCGUCCAUGAAGGGUUAGUCAGGUCCUAAGAUCAGGCCGAGAGGCGUCGUCGAUGGCAAUCAGGUUAAUAUUCCUGAACUUAUUUUAUUUGUUUUAAAAUCCCGAGGGACGAAGAAGGCUAAAUUUGAACUGACAACGGAUUGCAGUGGAAAUGUUCUAGGUGUUGAAAGGUUGAAUAAAAACAACUCUUGAGCUGAGACAUGACCCCAUCUCGGUCAAGCUUCGGCUUGAUUAGAUGCAGAUGAUGCCAUACUUCCAAGAAAAGCUCGCACGAUUAAAAUAAAAUAACCUGUACCAUAAACCGACACAGGUAGGUAAGUAGAGAAUACUAAGGAGCGCGAGAGAACUCUCCCUAAGGAACUCGGCAAAUUAACCCCGUAACUUCGGAAGAAGGGGUGCCUCUUUAACAGGGAGGCUGCAAUAUACAGAUUCAAUCCCAGGAUCUGGCGACUGUUUACCAAAAACACAGGUCUCCGCAAAGUCGUAAGACAAUAUAUGGGGGCUGACGCCUGCCCAGUGCUGGAAGGUGAAGGAAGUUGGUUAACGCUGACGACCGAAGCCCCAGUGAACGGCGGCGGUAACUAUAACCGUCCUAAGGUAGCGAAAUUCCUUGUCGAGUAAGUUUCGACCUGCACGAAAGGCGUAACGAUCAGAAUACUGUCUCAGGGAGAGGCUCGGUGAAAUAGACUUGUCCGUGAAGAUGCGGACUACCCACACUUGGACAGAAAGACCCUAUGAAGCUUGACUGUAGUCUGGAAUUGGGUUCGGGCUUUUUUUGCGCAGUAUAGGUGGGAGGCGUUGAAGGCUUUUUUUCGGAAAGGUCUGAGCCGACGUUGAGAUACCACUCUGAAAGAGCUAGAAUCCUAAUGGUGUUCCUUGAAUCAGGACGCUUAACAGUUUCAGAUGGGCAGUUUUCUUGGGGCGAGAUCCUCCCAAAAGGUAACGGAGGUGCGCAAUGGUUCCCUCAGCCUGGACGGAAAUCAGGCAUUGAGUGUAAAGGCAUAAGGGAGCUUGACUGCAAGACCUACAAGUCAAGCAGGAUCGAAAGAUGGCCUUAGUGAUCCGACGGUACCACGUGGAAGGGCCGUCGCUCAACGGACAAAAGUUACUCUAGGGAUAACAGGCUGAUCAUUUUCAAGAGUUCAUAUCGACGAAAUGGUUUGGCACCUCGAUGUCGGCUCUUCGCAUCCUGGGGCGGUAGUACGUCCCAAGGGUUGGGCUGUUCGCCCAUUAAAGCGGAACGUGAGCUGGGUUCAGAACGUCGUGAGACAGUUCGGUCCAUAUCCGGUGUGGGCGUUAGAGCAUUGAGGGAAUCCUUUUAUAGUACGAGAGGACCCAAAAGGACACACCAAUGGUAUACCAGUUCUUGUUCCAACAGGAAACGCUGGGUAGCUACGUGUGGAAUAGAUAACUGCUGAGAGCAUCUAAGUAGGAAGCUUAUCCCAAGAUGAGUGCUCUUCCAAUCAAAAACAUUUUUAUGGUUUUGAAAGGUUGUAGGUCACGGCAAGACAAGCCGUUAUAUAGGUGUCAGGUGUAAGGCCAGUAAUGGUUUCAGCUAAGACAUACUAAAGACCGAAUAAUUUUGAUUUU
Molecule: ribosomal RNA, 3037 nt
Filed under: Chaetopeltis orbicularis
Lineage: Eukaryota; Viridiplantae; Chlorophyta; Chlorophyceae; Chaetopeltidales; Chaetopeltidaceae
Description: large subunit ribosomal RNA
Rfam family: Bacterial large subunit ribosomal RNA
Source: RNAcentral